Molecule: RNA transcript, 3730 nt
Organism: Panicum virgatum (switchgrass)
Lineage: Eukaryota; Viridiplantae; Streptophyta; Magnoliopsida; Poales; Poaceae
Gene name: FT-interacting protein 3-like
Exons: 3
Source: RefSeq, a predicted model, not a curated record
GGAUAGCUCCAAAGGCCCAACACGGCACCAGCAGCUGACGGCACCGCGCCCCACAAGAACCACCACCAGCAGCAGGUGCAUGUGUUCCUCGCUCCACAGGCUCUGGCUCUCCCUCCGCGCUCUUCUAGUGCGAUAGGUUGUUGCACGUUUUGCAGCUCCCCCUCCUCUUCAGUUUUUCCUCAUCACCGUGGUGGCCACUUGUCCUCUCUCCUAUCAGCAGGGCCAGAGCCAGAUAGUUUAGUCCUCGCCUCCAUCUUCGUCUUCUUCGUUGCCAUCGUCGUCGUCGUCGUCAUCCUCCACGCUCUCUUCUCGGGAUUAGGGAGGAACCACCGAGGGCUGAAGCUGCUGCCUGUUCAACGGCUGAAGGAUACCGAGGCUACUGCCUUCUGAGUUUCUGAAGAAUAAGGCGCAUCUCUUCUGUGCUACAAGAUCCAGUGGCGGACCAUGAUGAGCAACGUUAAGCUUGGUGUUGAGGUUGUCAGUGCUCACGAUCUCCUCCCGAAAGAACAGGGCACAGCCAAUGCCUUUGUUGAAGUCGAGUUUGAUGACCAGAAGUUCCGCACAGCCAUCAAAGACAGGGACCUCAACCCUGUGUGGAAUGAGCAGUUCUACUUCAACAUAUCUGAUCCAUCCCGCCUCCCCGAGCUACACCUUGAGGCCUAUGUGUACCAUGCAAACCGUACCAACAAUUCCAAGGCCUGCCUUGGCAAGGUUCGCAUAUCGGGUACAUCCUUUGUCAGCCAACCAGAUGCCUCACCCCUGCACUACCCCCUGGAGAAGCGCAACAUCUUAUCGCGCGCACGUGGUGAGCUUGGACUAAGGGUCUUCCUUACAAAUGAUCCAUCAGUAAGGGUGUCUGCACCAGGUCCGGAAUUCGAUAUGUUAAGCACAUCUAGCACUGCGCAAGAGCAGGAAGCGGCCAACUCCAUUCCAAAUCCUUUCCAAGAGACCAGACCAAAUCCAGUGAGACAAUUACAGCACUUGCCAAGAGAACAGCAGCGUCCGGCACCAAUGGGACAAGCAUACUACAAUGAAGGUUCAUACGGAGACCCGCAACAAAGAAGCUUUUCUGCAAUUGCAAAUAAAGCUGGAGCCCCUCCGCCUCAGGUAUCAAGGAUGUAUGCUCCAGGUUCACAGCAACCUAUCGACUUCCAGCUGAAGGAGACAAGCCCAACGCUUGGUGGUGGCCGUGUUAUUGGCGGUCGGGUGUAUCCUGGUGAGAAGGCCGGGGCUUACGACCUUGUUGAGAAGAUGCAGUACCUCUUUGUGCGAGUGGUCAAGGCCCGCGACCUGCCCAACAUGGACAUCACUGGGAGUCUUGACCCUUUUGUCGAGGUGCAUCUUGGAAACUACAAAAUGAAAACAAAGUAUUUUGAGAAGAAUCAGAAGCCCGAAUGGGAUGAGGUGUUUGCAUUCCCCAAAGAAGUCAUGCAGUCAACAACACUUGAAGUUGUUGUGAAGGACAAGGAUGUCAUUCGGGAUGACUAUGUCGGUCGAGUGAGUCUUGACCUGAAUGAGGUCCCUGUAAGGGUCCCUCCUGACAGCCCAUUGGCGCCAGAGUGGUAUCGUCUUGUGGGAAAGGAUGGCAUAAGGGACAGAGGAGAGCUGAUGCUUGCAGUCUGGUAUGGUACUCAAGCAGAUGAAUGCUUCCCAAGCGCCAUCCAUGCAGGAUCAACACCAGUUGAUUCCCAUCUUCACAACUAUAUCCGUGGGAAGGUCUACCCUGCACCAAGAAUGUGGUACGUGAGGGUCAAUGUAAUUGAGGCACAGGAUAUAUUCCCAAUGGAGAACCACAUACCUGAUGUAUUUGUAAAAGUGAGGCUGGGCCACCAAUUGUUGAAGACAAGGCAAGUUCGGUCACCAACCAAAAACUUCAUGUGGAAUGAAGAGAUGAUGUUUGUCGCAGCAGAGCCUUUUGAGGAAGACUUGAUCAUAACAAUAGAAGACCGUGUAGCACAAAACAAAGAUGAGGUGAUUGGUGAAGUUAUGAUACCACUAACAAGGAUUCCAAAGCGGGCUGAUCACAAGCAGUACGGCCAGCAUGGUUUGAUCUGAGAAGACCAGGAUUGAUUGAUGCGAACCAGCUAAAGGAAGACAAAUUCUAUGCAAAGGUAAAACCUCCGUAUUUGCCUUGAAGGUGGUUAUCAUGUGCUUGAUGAGUCCACACAAUUGCAGUGAUCUCCGGCCAACAAUGAAACAGUUGUGGAAGCCACCAAUUGGCAUGCUUGAAGUUGGCAUUUUAAGUGCACAUGGUCUCAAUCCAACAAAAACCAGAAAUGACGAGGGUCAUGUGAUGCAUAUUGUGUUGCCAAGUAUGGUUCAAAAUGGGUGCGGACACGCACAAUCGUUGACAACUUGAGCCCUCGAUUCAAUGAGCAGUACACAUGGGAAGUUUAUGAUCAUGGAACUGUACUCACAAUUGGUCUGUUUGACAACUGCCACAUAAGUGGAGACAGUAACCAUGGCUCCCAAGGCCAUAUGGAUAAACCCAUUGGGAAAGUGCGAAUUCGGCUUUCAACACUUGAGACUGGGCGGGUGUACACACAUACAUACCCAUUGCUUGUCCUGCACCCAUCAGGAGUUAAAAAGAUGGGCGAACUCCACCUUGCCAUCCGGUUCUCAGCCACAUCCCUGAUCAAUGUGCUCUUUACAUACUCUAGGCCCCUCUUGCCCAAGAUGCAUUACACACAGCCUCUGUCAAUAGUCCAGCAGGAAAUGCUUCGCCACCAGGCUGUGCAGCUUGUUGCGCAGCGCCUGGGGCGCAUGGAGCCACCAGUUCGCAGGGAAGUUGUUGAGUUCAUGUCAGAUGCUCGCUCUCACCUGUGGAGCAUGCGACGGAGCAAAGCUAAUUUCUUCCGUCUUAUGCAAGUUUUCUCUGGAGUCAUUGCUGCAGGAAAGUGGUUCGGCGAUGUUUGUCAGUGGAACAACCCAGUCACCACAGUAUUGGUUCAUGUGCUCUUUGUCAUGCUUGUGUUCUAUCCAGACCUUAUCCUGCCAACAAUCUUCCUCUACAUGUUCUUGAUAGGGCUGUGGAAUUACCGGUUCCGACCACGCUUCCCACCACACAUGAACACAAGAAUAUCUUAUGCUGAUGUUGCCCUUCCAGAUGAGCUUGAUGAGGAAUUUGACACAUUCCCAACCUCAAAAAGCCCAGAUCUAAUUAGGAUGAGGUAUGAUAGGUUACGACAUGUUGCUGGGAGAAUUCAGACAGUUGUUGGAGACAUAGCCACUCAGGGAGAGAGGUUACAGUCACUGCUGAGCUGGAGGGACCCAAGGGCAACAGCUAUGUUCCUAAUAUUUUGCCUGAUCACAGCCAUUAUACUAUAUGUGACACCAUUCCAAGUGAUUGCACUCUGCCUUGGGUUCUUCUGGAUGAGGCAUCCUCGAUUUCGCCACAAGGUGCCGUCUGCACCAGUAAACUUCUUCAGGAGGCUACCUGCAAAGACAGAUUCAUUGCUGUAAAGUUCCAUGGAGAACAGCUAUUGAUGGUAUCUAAUGUACCACUCUGUAUGUGUUUCUUGUGUCCUAUUUAUUGUUGUAUAAUAGUAUUAAGUGAGAUAAAAUGCAAUUUGCUGCUUCAUGUGACAGAACAAACUAAGUCAAUUUCGUCAGGUAACUUCCAAGCCUUAGAAGUUAAGAAUAUAUUUAAACUUUUGUAUAUCAUGAAAUGUAUGUAAGAUGUCUGAUUCAACAACAGUUUCUCCAAUGAGUCAAAAUUUUCAUGCUGGGA